GAUGAACGCUGGCGGCGUGCCUAAUACAUGCAAGUCGAGCGAACAGACGAGGAGCUUGCUCCUUUGACGUUAGCGGCGGACGGGUGAGUAACACGUAGGUAACCUACCUAUAAGACUGGGAUAACUUCGGGAAACCGGAGCUAAUACCGGAUAAUAUUUCGAACCGCAUGGUUCGAUAGUGAAAGAUGGCUUUGCUAUCACUUAUAGAUGGACCUGCGCCGUAUUAGCUAGUUGGUAAGGUAACGGCUUACCAAGGCAACGAUACGUAGCCGACCUGAGAGGGUGAUCGGCCCCACUGGAACUGAGACACGGUCCAGACUCCUACGGGAGGCAGCCGUAGGGAAUCUUCCGCAAUGGGCGAAAGCCUGACGGAGCAACGCCGCGUGAGUGAUGAAGGUCUUCGGAUCGUAAAACUCUGUUAUUAGGGAAGAACAAACGUGUAAGUAACUGUGCACGUCUUGACGGUACCUAAUCAGAAAGCCACGGCUAACUACGU
RNAcentral lists this ribosomal RNA (496 nucleotides) under uncultured bacterium. Its description in RNAcentral is "partial 16S ribosomal RNA". It matches the Rfam family "Bacterial small subunit ribosomal RNA", at positions 28 to 506 of the family's 1533-position model. The record is from RNAcentral.